RNAcentral lists this unclassified non-coding RNA (607 nucleotides) under Melitaea cinxia (Glanville fritillary). RNAcentral's name for it is "misc RNA ENSMCXG00005002672.1". Lineage: Eukaryota; Metazoa; Arthropoda; Insecta; Lepidoptera; Nymphalidae. The record is from RNAcentral.
GUCCUGACAGACGUUGUUGGGCCUGCCGGUCUGGGUACGGGUUUCUAGGCUUACACCUGCUAAUACGGGGAACGCUGGUAGCGACCACUAACGAGUAACUUUUUUCCGACCCGGUGGACCUAGGUCACGCGCAUUAAAUGAGCAAAUCUAGCGAUCCGGCUGACACCCCGUGUCAUCUAUCCGGGAAAGGUGGUGUGAAAAUUCUACCGGCCAUAUGCUCGUGGCUCGUCAGGCACCGCAUAGACAUUCAGCUACUGAUGAUUCUAAUACCUGCAAAACCCAAUUUAUUAGAAAUAGAAAAAGGAAAAAACAGAAAAAAUUAACAUACAAAAUCCACAAUAUAAAAAUAAGAAUUAGCUAAACAAGAACAACAAUACUAAAACCACAGAGUACAUUGUAAUAGUAGGUAGGUAUAAUGCCUACUAAAUAUAUACAAGGGAAUCGCUGACACCGCGCGUCACCACGAGUCGCCGUUGCAAUAUAUGACGUCAAUAAAGAUCAUCAUCAGCAUUCUCAUAUUUUACCUUUUUAACCGACUCCAAAAAAGGAGGAGAUUCUCAAUUCGACUGUAUUUUUUUUAUGCAUGUUACUUCAGAACUUUUGACUG